GCCUUGGUAGCUCAGUUGGUAGAGCACCUGACUGAAAAUCAGGUUGUCGGUGGUUCAAUUCCGCCCCAAGGCACCA
RNAcentral lists this transfer RNA (76 nucleotides) under Christensenellaceae bacterium. RNAcentral describes it as "tRNA-Phe". It matches the Rfam family "tRNA". From Rfam's summary of the family: Transfer RNA (tRNA) molecules are approximately 80 nucleotides in length. The record is from RNAcentral. Lineage: Bacteria; Bacillati; Bacillota; Clostridia; Christensenellales; Christensenellaceae. RNAcentral also lists the same sequence under 1 other name.